UCAGACGUGUUCUCUUACGAACUGCCAUAUGAAGUAAUGCAGGAUUUAAAAGAAAGCCCAGGGGUUUCUACAGCGUAUUCGGGACACAAUUUGACAGAACACUAAUGCAGACCCCGAUGAUCAGGCAACUGAGUCAAUUAUUAAGGGAAUUUUUACAAGCAGAGCAGCCCCUGAUAUUAAGAGAAAGUUACAAAAAAAGGAGGAUUUAAUGGGCAUGACC
Chelonia mydas (Green sea turtle) is the source of this 220-nucleotide long non-coding RNA. RefSeq lists it as uncharacterized. The record is from RefSeq and is a predicted model, not a curated record. Lineage: Eukaryota; Metazoa; Chordata; Testudines; Cheloniidae. The transcript is spliced from 4 exons.